CAGUAGCCGCGGGAAUACGAAGGGGGCUAGCGUUGAUCGGAAUCACUGGGCGUAAAGGGCUCGCAGGCGGUUUCUUAAGUCUGAUGUGAAAGCCCCCGGCUCAACCGGGGAGGGUCAUUGGAAACUGGGAAACUUGAGUGCAGAAGAGGAGAGUGGAAUUCCACGUGUAGCGGUGAAAUGCGUAGAGAUGUGGAGGAACACCAGUGGCGAAGGCGACUCUCUGGUCUGUAACUGACGCUGAGGAGCGAAAGCGUGGGGAGCGAACAGGAUUAGAUACCCGGGUAGUCCCUGUCUCUUAUAC
RNAcentral lists this ribosomal RNA (301 nucleotides) under uncultured bacterium. Its description in RNAcentral is "partial 16S ribosomal RNA". It matches the Rfam family "Bacterial small subunit ribosomal RNA", at positions 509 to 807 of the family's 1533-position model. The record is from RNAcentral.